AUUGAACGCUGGCGGCAUGCUUUACACAUGCAAGUCGAACGGUAACAGGCCUUCGGGUGCUGACGAGUGGCGAACGGGUGAGUAAUGCAUCGGAACGUGCCCAAUCGUGGGGGAUAACGUAGCGAAAGUUACGCUAAUACCGCAUAAGCCCUGAGGGGAAAGCAGGGGAUCGCAAGACCUUGCGCGAAUGGAGCGGCCGAUGUCAGAUUAGCUAGUUGGUGGGGUAAAGGCCUACCAAGGCGACGAUCUGUAGCGGGUCUGAGAGGAUGAUCCGCCACACUGGGACUGAGACACGGCCCAGACUCCUACGGGAGGCAGCAGUGGGGAAUUUUGGACAAUGGGCGCAAGCCUGAUCCAGCCAUGCCGCGUGCGGGACGAAGGCCUUCGGUU
RNAcentral lists this ribosomal RNA (390 nucleotides) under uncultured bacterium. Its description in RNAcentral is "bacterial SSU rRNA". It matches the Rfam family "Bacterial small subunit ribosomal RNA", at positions 30 to 423 of the family's 1533-position model. The record is from RNAcentral.